This 3213-nucleotide long non-coding RNA is filed under the name Physcomitrium patens. RNAcentral's name for it is "long non-coding RNA (PPAT_LNC010836)". The record is from RNAcentral. Lineage: Eukaryota; Viridiplantae; Streptophyta; Bryopsida; Funariales; Funariaceae.
AGGUGUUUGGCGGGAUGGACAAGGGAAAGAGGGCCAAAGUGGAGGAGGAGGAGGGCUCCGAACUGGACGCCGAGUUGGUUCAGGCCAUCGAGAAGUUGCAAGAAGUGCAGGACGAGCUUGAACGGGUGGGUGUGGAUGUGUGUGUGUUUUCUUUCUUGCUUGCCUCCUCUGUUGUUGUUGUUGUUGUUGCUGCUGCUCUUGUUUAUUAUUUAUUUUUUAGUGUUUUUUAAUUUUUAAUUUUUUUCCUCACUCCAUUUCGUCCCCCACCACCAAGCAACAUAUCUUUUAUGAGGUCGCUUCGGGGGAUAGGAGUGGAGGAUGGUGGUAGCGGUGGGGAUUGGAGGUGCAUGGCUGCACGAGGUGUUAUUUGUGGCUACCUUCCGGGAUGUCGCUUUUCGGUCAACUUGGGCACGGGGUGGGGUUUGGGGUUUAAGGGUACCGACGGGUUCGAAGUGGUGGAGCGCAACGGCUAGGGUAGGUUUUGGUGUGGGCGACGGAGAGGGAGGUUGGGAUUGUCGUUGUUCGAAAAGUGCGGGUUUGUUCCGGUCGUUACAGGAGUUCGAUGUCGGCGUAGGUUUGGCGGUGAGGUCUAGGCGCAGCUGUGGGUCGGGUGCACGGGGGCGUUGCAAAAGGGAGGUUUUUCGGGGGAAUUUGUGGGCUGCGCACGAAGUUGUGUUGUCGCGACAGCGUAGUGCAGUAUUGGGUGUGUGGUGGGGGUGGAUGGACAAGCGUGCAUGGAGGUGGCGAUGGUGUGGGGCGUGAGAUGGACGCGGAGGAAUGGAAAGCUGGGAUGGCAGGGCGUGUGAUGUAGUCUCCCCCGACCGCAGUGCAGCAGGUAGUGUGUGAGGUAGCUGACGGUGCAGCGAUUGGGGUUGGCAGGUGAACGAGGAGGCGAGCGACAAAGUGCUGGAGGUGGAGCAGUUUUACAACGAAAUCCGACGCCCAGUGUACAGCAAGCGGAAUGCCAUCAUCCACAACAUUCCGGACUUCUGGUUGACUGCCGUACGGUCCCACUUCGCGCGCUUGUCCCCUGUUGUUGAAGGUUUUGGUAGUUCGUGCAGUAUGGACAUAUGCGAAUGGGUUGGUGGAUUGGGCACGGAUGGCAUGGGCGGGGGUAAUGGGGUGGGUAUGAAGGGUUGAUAGUGUUUGUGGCGUGCAGUUUCUGAGCCACCCAGUGCUGUGCGACCUCUUGACGGAGGACGAUCAGAAGGUAAGGCUGGCACGCUCACUCUUGUGUACGCCUUGUUUGUGGGCGCUUUUUCAGUUGGGAGCAUGAGUGUGCAUUGGAUGGGGCUGUGAAUGGAACGGGGCGAGUGUGUGAUUUUGGAAGCAAGGCGAUGGAGUUCCGAGGGCUGAUGGUGGGGUGUGUGCGUGCAUGGCAGGUGUUCAAAUACCUGGAAUCGCUGGACGUGGAGGACUUCAAGGAUGUGAAAUCGGGCUACAGCAUCAGCUUUGUGAGUGUCUUACCGAGAUGACGAGAGCUUGUGCUGAGGACAUGGUGGCGUUGAGAUGGGGGUGUUGGGCAUGGGUAGCUGUCGGUGAAGCGGGCGUCGGGGGGGGGGGACGUUAUUGACUGGAUGUGGAUGGGUGCGGUGCAGAAUUUUCGAACAAAUCCUUACUUCGAGGAUACGAAGUUGACGAAGGAGUUCAGGUUUUCGGAUGACGGUUCGACGUCCGUGUCGGGCACCCAGCCGAAGUGGAAGGAUGGAAUGGUGAGGGUUAGGGGGUGCGAACGAGCGAGUUGUGUGGUGGUGGAGCGGAUGAUGUAGGGCGUGGUAGCAGAAGAGGGAUGGUUGGUGGACGUGAGGCACAGCAUAGGUGGCGGUGAGCGGGUGGGGUGGAAAGAAGUAGGUGUGUGGUUGUGGGUGGUGUGGCGUACUGAAGCGGUGUGUUUGUGGCAGAAUCUGACGAACGGCGUGGUAGCUGAGAAAGAAGGGAACAAGAGGGGUCAUCAAACGGAGGACAGGUAUGAGCUCGAAGCAUUGGGUGUUGUGGGUUGGCGUAUGCCGAUGGGUUGGUAUUGUGGGUGUCGGCGGUCGUGAAAUGUAUGGUGGUCGGCAUGUUCGAGGUUAGGGAAGUGUGAGGUGGAGUGUGUGCGUGAGAAUGAGGUGGCGAGGGAGGGAUUGCAAUUAGUGGUGUUGUUGAGGUGGAGCGCGUUAAUAAGAGGGGAAGCGGGAAUGUUGUGCAGUUUCUUCAAGUGGUUCUCGGACACGCAGCAGAAGAUAUCCAUAGAGGGGAUACAAGACGAGGUGAGCAUUUCUAUGAAGCACGGAGUUUAGUGGGGGCGGAGGAGUUGAUGAUGUGAAGUAGGGUGGUGGGUGGUGACUCAUGUUUGUGUGGCGUUGGAUGUCGGAGUUGUGGAGGAAGCGCGGUGAAGCAGGUUCCCCUGUGAGAAUUUUGUAGCAGGAGGGAGUGGGUUUGGGAGGAGUGGGAGGUGUUGGUUGCGGGGAGUGUAGGGGAUGGGCGAAGGCAGUGGGUGGGUUUCGGGGUGGGGCAUGGGUGACAAAGGUUGAGAAGGUGGUUGCAGUAAGUUGACAUAAAUGUUUGUCAUAUUAGGAUGGUUGGUUGGGGCUGCAGGUUGCAGAGGUCAUCAAGGAUGAUCUGUGGCCAAAUCCGCUGAAGUACUUCAACAAUGUAAGCAUAUAUGUGUUUUGGUAUUUUUCUUGUCUCUUUUGAAGCGCUGUGGUUUCUUGGGCAGUGAUUGCGGUAGUAAGGACGCAAGGGCGUGUGCGUAGAUGGGAAGGUUAGGGGUGGCGGGUGAAGCACUGUGGAGUGUGGCGGUUGUGUUGAAUGCGAGGUUGUAAGGCGCGUGGAGAGCGUGUAGUGGCAUGCAUGCUGAGGCGGUGGGGGCUUGUGCAGGAGCAAGAUGAAGAAGGGUUCGAGAGUGGGGAUCAAGAAAGCGGGGACGAUGACGCGGUAAAGCAACAGCACCAAUGGUGGAGAUGUUUGAGAUAGAGUGAUGUGCUUGUGGGGUGAGGGUCGGGGAUGAGUGUGAUGAUGCGUGAGGAUUGUGGCGGUGGUUGAGGGGAAGCGUGGAUGGUGUGGUUGUGUGGCAGAGUAAGGGCGAUGGCCUGGACGACGAGGAUGACGAGGGCGACGAGGACGACGACGACGAGUAGAUGCGGGGAGGAAGAAGGUGGAGGGAGCAAGUGUAAUGGUAUCUGAUUUUUGUGGAGGGGCAUGGAUGGCAGUAGCUGAUGAGGAAGAGGAUGG